CCCGCUGAACUUAAGCAUAUCAAUAAGCGGAGGAAAAGAAACUAACAAGGAUUCCCCUAGUAGCUGCGAGCGAAAAGGGAUCAGCUCAAAACCGAAUCUGGUCGCCCUUGCGGCGGUCCGAAAUGUGGUUUAAGGACUUGGCUCGGGAAGGUUGCAGCGGUAUAAGUCACCUGGAACGGUGCGCCAUAGAGGGUGAUAGCCCCGUGAAACCGUUGUCGGCCGUCCCGCAUGAGCUUAGCCCCAAGAGUCGCACUGUUUGAGAGUACAGUGCUAAGACGGGAGGUGAGUAUCUCCUAAAGCUAAAUAUUUGUCUGAGUCCGAUAGCGCACAAGUACCGUGAGGGAAAGUUGCAAAGAACUUUGAAAAGAGAGUUAAAAGAACCUGAAAUCGCUAACGGGGAAGGGCUCGGGCAAAUCGCGGCCUCUUGAAUUCCCUCUGUAUAAAUCUGUUCAAACCGGAUGGUAGAGCCGCACUUUUGUGGCCGUCCGACUGGCGCGCGCGGGUGCUACGGAGCUACUUUUCUAAGCCGGGUGGGUUCAACGAGAAGCGGCUGAUUGGGGCGUAAGCGGGGUAUUCAUGGAUUGGUUAAUUUCGGUUUGUGGAACGAAAGCUGAUGUUUUCCGGCUGCCCACCGUUGAUAACUAUGGACUGCGCCUUUUUGGCUGGGUCCGGGCGGGGAUUUGCUGUUUGAGGGAUCUGGGCACAUUUAUGUACCCGGGUUAUGAGAAUGGCACUGAACCGCCCGCCCGUGCAGGACUUCCCACCAUAGUCGAGGGACCUGAGCCUCCCGUCUUGAAACACGG
This 803-nucleotide ribosomal RNA is filed under the name uncultured fungus. Its description in RNAcentral is "eukaryotic LSU rRNA". It matches the Rfam family "Eukaryotic large subunit ribosomal RNA", at positions 24 to 664 of the family's 3401-position model. Lineage: Eukaryota; Fungi. The record is from RNAcentral.